UUAUUUUAAUAGCUUUUUCUUAAGUGCCAAUUAGUGGAACAAAUACUUGAAGCAUGGGAAAUGAAUGAGAAGAAACAGGCUGAAGGAGGAAGGCGGCAUGGUUAUAUGGGUCAUUUAACAAGGAUAGCUAACUGUAUUGUGCACAGUACUGAUAAGGGGCCAAACAGCGCACUAGUACAACAGCUAUUAAAGAGCUUCCAGAUGAUGUCAGGGAGCGAUGGGAGACCUUCUGUACAAACUCCUUAGGAGAAACUAACAAAAGGAACACAGUGGCUCUAGUAGGUUUUGUAAGAUGAAGUUUGAAAAGUUACUGCAGUUAUAAGGGCAUCCUUUUCCCUUCCCAUGUGUCAGGGAUACAGUUGCACUGCAGCCUUUUCAGCCAUCAUGCUUCUCAGACAGAAUGUCUGCAAACCUCUCCAGUAGCUGCACUGUGGAAUUGGCACCUCCCUGUUUCCUUUGCAAAUAUGGCUGCCUUAUUGGCACUUUAAUAUGGUUUUGCAAGGGUGUUUGGAGUUGGGCUCAUAUUGUAUUGCACCUCACUCUUAAAGCACCACCCAACAGGAAGAUGUCACUUUGGGGUCUUUGCAAGUCCAAAACUGCUUGAAGAAUUGAGACUAAAAUUGCUGAAGCUGGGGUUUUUCAUAUGCAGUAUGUAAGCAAGCCUACAUACAGUUAAAGUGAAACUGCUUCCUGCAUCAUUGAAUGAUGCACACAAAAACCUACCUCACUUUUAAUGAAGAAAUAUAACUUUGCCUUGA
Non-coding RNA from Chrysemys picta bellii (western painted turtle), 758 nucleotides. NCBI's taxonomy places the organism in Eukaryota, Metazoa, Chordata, Testudines, Emydidae. The record is from RefSeq and is a predicted model, not a curated record.